AGUGAACGCUGGCGGUAGGCCUAACACAUGCAAGUCGAACGGCAGCACAGUAAGAGCUUGCUCUUACGGGUGGCGGGUGGCGGACGGGUGAGGAAUACAUCGGAAUCUACUUUUUCGUGGGGGAUAACGUAGGGAAACUUACGCUAAUACCGCAUACGACCUACGGGUGAAAGCAGGGGAUCUUCGGACCUUGCGCGAUUGAAUGAGCCGAUGUCGGAUUAGCUAGUUGGCGGGGUAAAGGCCCAACAAGGCGACGAUCCGUAGCUGGUCUGAGAGGAUGGUCAGCCACACUGGAACUGAGACACGGCACAGACUCCUACGGGAGGCAGCAGUGGGGAAUAUUGGACAAUGGGCGCAAGCCUGAUCCAGCCAUACCGCGUGGGUGAAGAAGGCCUUCGGGUUGUAAAGCCCUUUUGUUGGGAAAGAAAAGCAGCAGGUUAAUACCCCGCUGUUCUGACGGUACCCAAAGAAUAAGCACCGGCUAACUUCGUG
RNAcentral lists this ribosomal RNA (492 nucleotides) under uncultured bacterium. RNAcentral describes it as "partial 16S ribosomal RNA". It matches the Rfam family "Bacterial small subunit ribosomal RNA", at positions 29 to 507 of the family's 1533-position model. The record is from RNAcentral.